AAAAGAACCCCGGCGAGGGGAGUGAAAAAGAACCUGAAACCGUGUACGUACAAGCAGUGGGAGCACGCUUAGGCGUGUGACUGCGUACCUUUUGUAUAAUGGGUCAGCGACUUAUAUUCUGUAGCAAGGUUAACCGAAUAGGGGAGCCGAAGGGAAACCGAGUCUUAACUGGGCGUUAAGUUGCAGGGUAUAGACCCGAAACCCGGUGAUCUAGCCAUGGGCAGGUUGAAGGUUGGGUAACACUAACUGGAGGACCGAACCGACUAAUGUUGAAAAAUUAGCGGAUGACUUGUGGCUGGGGGUGAAAGGCCAAUCAAACCGGGAGAUAGCUGGUUCUCCCCGAAAGCU
This 348-nucleotide ribosomal RNA is filed under the name Escherichia coli. RNAcentral's name for it is "partial 23S ribosomal RNA". It matches the Rfam family "Bacterial large subunit ribosomal RNA", at positions 517 to 867 of the family's 2925-position model. The record is from RNAcentral. Lineage: Bacteria; Pseudomonadati; Pseudomonadota; Gammaproteobacteria; Enterobacterales; Enterobacteriaceae.